AUUCAACUGACGAUUCCUAAAUAGAACGAAACUCGCGUUCUGGAU
Schistosoma haematobium is the source of this 45-nucleotide non-coding RNA. NCBI's taxonomy places the organism in Eukaryota, Metazoa, Platyhelminthes, Trematoda, Strigeidida, Schistosomatidae. The record is from Rfam.